This 304-nucleotide ribosomal RNA is filed under the name uncultured bacterium. RNAcentral describes it as "bacterial SSU rRNA". It matches the Rfam family "Bacterial small subunit ribosomal RNA", at positions 28 to 334 of the family's 1533-position model. The record is from RNAcentral.
GACGAACGCUGGCGGCGUGCCUAACACAUGCAAGUCGAACGGAGUAAUGAUUUCGGUUAUUACUUAGUGGCGAACGGGUGAGUAACGCGUGAGAAACCUGCCUUUCAGUGGGGGACAACAGUUGGAAACGACUGCUAAUACCGCAUAAUGUUAUUUGGGGGCAUCCCGGAUAACCAAAGAUUUAUUGCUGAAAGAUGGUCUCGCGUCUGAUUAGCUAGUUGGUGAGGUAACGGCUCACCAAGGCGACGAUCAGUAGCCGGUCUGAGAGGAUGAACGGCCACAUUGGGACUGAGAUACGGCCCAG